CAUGCACCAAUUUGUAAGUCGCUCUGGAUAAGAGCGUCUGCUAAAUGACUUAAA
Molecule: non-coding RNA, 54 nt
Organism: Salmo salar (Atlantic salmon)
Lineage: Eukaryota; Metazoa; Chordata; Actinopteri; Salmoniformes; Salmonidae
Source: Rfam